UCGGCGCUAAUACCUCAUAAUGCAGCGGAUCCGCAUGGAUAUGUUGUUAAAGGUUUACCGCCUUGGGAUAGGCUUGCGUCUGAUUAGCUAGUUGGUGUGGUAAUGGCACACCAAGGCUACGAUCAGUAACUGGUCUGAGAGGAUGAUCAGUCACACUGGAACUGAGACACGGCCCAGACUCCUACGGGAGGCAGCAGUGAGGAAUAUUGGGCAAUGCACGAAAGUGUGACCCAGCAACGCCGCGUGGAGGAUGAAGGUAUUCUAUAUCGUAAACUCCUGUGAGAGCAGACGAAAGACAGAUUAUUAAUUUGGAUGACUGUAUGCUCAGAGGAAGCCCCGGCUAACUACGUG
This 351-nucleotide ribosomal RNA is filed under the name uncultured bacterium. RNAcentral's name for it is "bacterial SSU rRNA". It matches the Rfam family "Bacterial small subunit ribosomal RNA", at positions 157 to 507 of the family's 1533-position model. The record is from RNAcentral.